RNAcentral lists this ribosomal RNA (279 nucleotides) under uncultured bacterium. Its description in RNAcentral is "partial 16S ribosomal RNA". It matches the Rfam family "Bacterial small subunit ribosomal RNA", at positions 506 to 784 of the family's 1533-position model. The record is from RNAcentral.
UGCCAGCCGCCGCGGUAAUACGAAGGGUCCAAGCGUUAUCCGGAAUCAUUGGGUCUAAAGGGUGCGCAGGCGGUUUAUUAAGUCAGUGGUGAAAUCUCGGGGCUCAACCCCGAAACUGCCAUUGAUACUGAUAAACUUGAGUUCAGUUGGAGUAGGCGGAAUGUGUAGUGUAGCGGUGAAAUGCUUAGAUAUUACACAGAACACCGAUAGCGAGGGCAGCUUACUAAGCUACGAUUGACGCUGAGGCACGAAAGCGUGGGGAGCGAACAGGAUUAGAUA